This 523-nucleotide long non-coding RNA is filed under the name Coffea arabica (coffee). RNAcentral describes it as "long non-coding RNA (CARA_LNC004417)". Lineage: Eukaryota; Viridiplantae; Streptophyta; Magnoliopsida; Gentianales; Rubiaceae. The record is from RNAcentral.
CCCCAUCCCAACUCUCACACUUCUAUUUCCAAUCCAUCCCACCCUUCCCCGUAAACCAAUCCCCAUCCACUUUCUCCGCCCCCAACAUUCUCUUUAUUCUACUCGUCUUCUCCUCCCUCCCUCCCCCGUCAUAUCCUCUCUCUUAACACACCCAGGGCAGCUGUCUGUGUUGGUUCGUAUCAAUUAUGAGGUUUUUCCAAUGGUAAGGAGUAGUAACAAGUAAGCAGCAGGGCAUCAAUCAAGAAAUCCGGUUACAAAUAUCGGCACCAAUUGCAGCUGCACGAGUAGCAUAGCAGUGACCAGACUAGAAACAACCCCAUGACAUGAGAGCUAGUUUCGACCGCAACAACCCAUCAUCACACGGAGUCAUGAGAUUUUCCUAUUUCGCUCCUCCUUUCUUCCUCAAUUUUCUUCUCUCUAACACUAUCAUCGGCCGCUCGUCUCCUCUUAUUGGUGCCAACCACACCUCCGCCCGCUUCUGUUCCCGAUAAAUUCAACUCCCUUCUUCCUUACAUCCGCUCAC